CCUAACACAUGCAAGUCGAACGGUAACAGGAAGAAGCUUGCUUCUUUGCUGACGAGUGGCGGACGGGUGAGUAAUGUCUGGGAAACUGCCUGAUGGAGGGGGAUAACUACUGGAAACGGUAGCUAAUACCGCAUAACGUCGCAAAACCAUAGAGGGGGACCUUCGGGCCUCUUGCCAUCGGAUGUGCCCAGAUGGGAUUAGCUAGUAGGUGGGGUAACGGCUCACCUAGGCGACGAUCCCUAGCUGGUCUGAGAGGAUGACCAGCCACACUGGAACUGAGACACGGUCCAGACUCCUACGGGAGGCAGCAGUGGGGAAUAUUGCACAAUGGGCGCAAGCCUGAUGCAGCCAUGCCGCGUGUAUGAAGAAGGCCUUCGGGUUGUAAAGACC
RNAcentral lists this ribosomal RNA (390 nucleotides) under uncultured bacterium. RNAcentral describes it as "bacterial SSU rRNA". It matches the Rfam family "Bacterial small subunit ribosomal RNA", at positions 47 to 433 of the family's 1533-position model. The record is from RNAcentral.